AGCAAUGGAGUCACCACCCCUGGGGAUAUUUAAAAGGCAUGUAGAUGUGGCACUUAGGGACAUAGAUUAGUGGUGUCAGUGCUAGGCUAAUGCCUGGGCUUAAUGAUCCUAGAGAUCUUUUCUAGCCUAAAUAUUCUAUGAUUCUGAUAAAGGUAAUUGAUCACUGGAAUAACAACUUCUUAUUUGUGUUGACUUCUUGAUUCUGAAGACGCAGUAUAAAUAAUGUUUCUCCAAAACAACCCUCCAUCUUCUUGUAGCAAAAGGAUUGCAGAGGGCUUGUGAUUGUUUUAUACAGGAAACCAACCUUUCUUAUCAUGUGUUCCCCGUUUUCUUUAGCUUCUGAAUAAGGACUCUGUCCCUAUAUUAAAAGAAAUUUUGGAGGAUAAUAUGCUCUGAAAAUAGAAUUUUCGGAGAUUAUUAAUGUCUUGAAAGCAAGCCUCUAGAACCUGUUGUGUUGGGGUCUAAAGUUAGCUCUGUCACCAAGUACUCUCAGGAGCAAGUAAUUUUGUUACUAUUAUCAGUUACAACCUCUGUUACUUGUUAACCAAUGUCUUAAAAGCAAG
Sturnus vulgaris (Common starling) is the source of this 563-nucleotide non-coding RNA. Lineage: Eukaryota; Metazoa; Chordata; Aves; Passeriformes; Sturnidae. The record is from RefSeq and is a predicted model, not a curated record.